UACAGAGUAAACAAAAGGACGAAGAAACACAAAAUCUUUAGUAGAAAGCCCAAGUAAAAACAACUUAGUGAUGAAAGCAACCUUAAGAAUUGUACAUUGAAAAAUACACCAAAUUCAUUUCACAGAGAGGAUUUUCCCCACAUGGUCAACACUUCGACACAGGGAAUUAAACGUGCUGGAACCUGGUUUUGCAUGACUUGCUAGAACUGGGUUCCACUACUGUUGCAGAUGGACAGAACAGACAGCUUAUGGUCACUG
Molecule: unclassified non-coding RNA, 258 nt
Filed under: Hevea brasiliensis (rubber tree)
Lineage: Eukaryota; Viridiplantae; Streptophyta; Magnoliopsida; Malpighiales; Euphorbiaceae
Source: RNAcentral